UACGUAGGGCGCAAGCGUUGUCCGGAAUUAUUGGGCGUAAAGAGCUCGUAGGCGGCCUGUUGCGUCCGCUGUGAAAUCCCAGGGCUUAACCCUGGGUCUGCAGUGGAUACGGGCAGGCUGGAGGCAGGCAGGGGAGAACGGAAUUCCCGGUGUAGCGGUGAAAUGCGCAGAUAUCAGGAGGAACACCGGUGGCGAAGGCGGGUCUCUGGGCAGUAACUGACGCUGAGGAGCGAAAGCGUGGGGAGCGAACAGG
Molecule: ribosomal RNA, 253 nt
Filed under: uncultured bacterium
Lineage: Bacteria
Description: partial 16S ribosomal RNA
Rfam family: Bacterial small subunit ribosomal RNA
Source: RNAcentral